UCUGCAUCAAUAUCAUUCCAGGCUUUUAUGACAAACUUGCACAAAACAUCCAACUGUGGAGCACGCAUGUUUCCUCCUUUUGUGAAUGACUUUUCGCCGCUAACCAUCCAUUCAUUCCACUGUUCUCAAAUGCGAUCUUUAAAUGGCUUGUUUAGGCACACAUCCAGUGGCUGUACCAACGAUGUCAAUCCUGCAGGAAUAACUGCUGCAUCUGUGUUUAGCCUUGCAAGCCUUUGUUUGGUGCUGGGAGUUAAAUGAGCCCUAAACAUAUCCCACACCAGUAGACUACGUUUUUGAAUAAGUCCACCUGGUCGCCUGCUCCAUACAUUAUCAAGCCAUAGCUUUACCCCUUCUUCAUCCAUCCAGCCUUUUUCAUUCACAUGUACAAAACAACCAACAGGGAACUUGAGUUUCGGCAUUGUUUUUCUUUUAAAAAUAAUCAUUGGUCUCAGUUUGGCGCCAUCAGCUGUGCAUCCUAGUACCACUGUAAAACUGGACUUCUCAUGUCCUGUUGUUUUAAUUAAAAUAGUUUUUUCACCUUUUUGAUGGACAGUUUUAUUUCCAACCAUAUCAAAAUUCAUUGGAGUUUCAUCCAUAUUUCCAAUACUACUUAACACAUAGCCAUGUUUAGUGCGCUGCUGUAUUACGUAUCGAUGGAAACUAUGUACUUUGCUGUCAAGAUCUGCAGGUAAUUUUUGGGCAAUUUUCAUCUUUUGCCUCAGUACCAUAUUAUGCCUUCCCAUGAAUCUAGUACACCAGGAUACAGUGGCCUUAAAUCUGUUGCUGUGAUCUGGGUUAGAUUUGGCCCACUGAAGUGCAAACAAAC
Molecule: non-coding RNA, 826 nt
Organism: Pelobates cultripes (western spadefoot toad)
Lineage: Eukaryota; Metazoa; Chordata; Amphibia; Anura; Pelobatidae
Source: the annotation of a GenBank genome assembly